CUACGGGAUGCUGCAGUGAGGAAUAUUGGUCAAUGGGCGCAAGCCUGAACCAGCCAUGCCGCGUGAAGGAUGACGGCCCUAUGGGUUGUAAACUUCUUUUAUAGGGGAAGAAACUCUGCUACGUGUAGCGGACUGACGGUACCCUACGAAUAAGCAUCGGCUAACUCCGUGCCAGCAGCCGCGGUAAUACGGAGGAUGCAAGCGUUAUCCGGAUUUAUUGGGUUUAAAGGGUGCGCAGGCGGAAGAUUAAGUCAGUGAUGAAAUCCUGCAGCUUAACUGUAGAACUGUCAUUGAUACUGGUUUUCUUGAAUAUAGUUGAGGUAGGCGGAAUAAGUAAUGUAGCGGUGAAAUGCUUAGAUAUUACUUAGAACACCGAUUGCGAAGGCAGCUUACUAAGCUAUUAUUGACGCUGAGGCACGAAAGCGUGGGGAGCGAACAGGAUUAGAUACCCGCGUAGUC
This 459-nucleotide ribosomal RNA is filed under the name uncultured bacterium. Its description in RNAcentral is "partial 16S ribosomal RNA". It matches the Rfam family "Bacterial small subunit ribosomal RNA", at positions 339 to 795 of the family's 1533-position model. The record is from RNAcentral.